UGGUGGAGUGAUUUGUCUGGCUAAUCCCGUUAACGAACGAGACCUCAGCCUGCUAACUAGUCACGGUCUUGGUUUAUCCCAGGCCGGCGGACUUCUUAGAGGGACUAUUGGCGAUUAGCCAAUGGAAGUUUGAGGCAAUAACA
RNAcentral lists this ribosomal RNA (143 nucleotides) under uncultured eukaryote. RNAcentral describes it as "partial 18S ribosomal RNA". It matches the Rfam family "Eukaryotic small subunit ribosomal RNA", at positions 1299 to 1458 of the family's 1831-position model. The record is from RNAcentral.